GCCUGUAUUAUCAUUUUCCUGUUGUCACAGGAAAAAAAAUGUUUUGAUUAUAUAUUUUCACCAAGAUGAUUACCUCACAACUGUAAGCAUUAGAGGGAGACUACAGCUAAAAUUAAAACUGAUUUUACAUACUUUAAGUUGUAACACCGCUUGUUAUAUUUAUAAACAUUACCGUAUGUUAUACAAAUCUAAUCAUGGGUUUCUGUUAAACAAUCAUCCCAGGAUGGGAAAAGGCGUUUACAUAUGCAUUAGCAAUUUCCUGUUUAAUUUUCCAAUUUACAGAAUACUCAGAAAGUACGCAACAACAACAGAAAUGUUGCAUUACUUCCUUCAUGGGUUCAUUUACUAAAUAGUACGUUCUGCUAAGUCUACAACCGAAUCGCAAAAGUUAAAGGACCAAUAAAGGCACCCAGACCACUUCAGCUUAAUGAAGUGGUCUAGGUGCCAGGUCCAUCUAGGAUUAACCCUGCCAGCUGUAAACAUAGCAGUUUCAGAGAAAUUGCUAUGUUUACAUAUGGGUUAAUCCAGCCUCUAGUGGCUGUCUCAUUGAGUUUGUUUUCCUGGCACUAUAGUGGUCCUUCAAGUGAACAUCUGCAGUUUAAAGAAAAGAAAAUCCUCUAGUUCCAAUCGAGUAGGAAAUGUGGAGAUAUAUGUUUGUUGUUGAAAUUUUUUUGGCUAACAUUUAAGAGUUAUAUGUCUCAACAUGUGUACUCAUGCUAACUUUUAAUAAACAGUUAACCCAUAAAUCCCACCUUUGCACCUUUUCUUUGCUCCACUGCAGUUUUCACUCUACACACAAACAGGGUCCCAUUUUCUCCCUCUGCAGAGAGACUCAAAAUGGCAGUAUCCUCCUUAAACCCAAAUUCUACAAUUCUACAAUUUUAUAGAUUAAAGUUAAUGGCUAUAGUCUCACAGCCAUGGAGGGAGAAGGAAAUCGGUGCUAUGAGAACACUACAGGCAUUCUUUGCAUGCUGCAAUAUCCACCUGCAAUGCUUUAUAUCGGAGAGAUGCUUUAAACAGUGAGAGAGAUGCUAAAUGUUUAAAACUGAAGUAUCCCUUACAAACAUGCAUAAUUACACCGAAUGAGGGUGUUUACUAUUUACCUAUUUUGUCACACAUACUGUUUGUGACAAAAAAAAAAAUCUGCAUUUCUACAAAUUUUUAAAACCGUAUCUUAAAUAUUGUAAAAUAAGGGUUACUCAAUAAUUAUGCAAUGAAAAAUGGAAUGGAAUAAAAUUAAAAUAAAGUUUUUAUGGAUUUACAAAAUUGCAAUUAUUAAGUAGCCACUGAACUGCACUAUGUACCAAAAAUUAUUUUAUUCUUUGUUCAUGUACUAGCCAUGGGCCACAAGUUUCAAGUGAAUGCUAUGCUUGAUUUUUUUUUUUUAAACUAAAUGUGGUAAUUCGUUGGUUGAUAGACUGCUUACCACCUGAAAAAUAGCUAUUUUAAGAAUGUAAAAGUAACAAAAAAGUGUUCUUACACAUAAUUCAAACAUGGUUACUACAACAAUGCUAUACCGUAAUCAUUAUCACAGUGCCUCUACAUUGAAAAGACUGCUGUGUCAUUAUAGCACCAUUGAUAAUGAUAAAAUAAUAAGAGCACUGGGUACACUGCCGUACCUGGUAAUGUGGUAACACACGUGCUCCCUGUGCAGUAGGUUUAGGGUUAUCUGGGGGGCUUAGGUUUAACCUGGCUGAGAAUCACAAGUUACAGUCUAUAGCAAAGUCCCCCUUAAUGCUAAGUUCCCCUUUCCCUAAGUUUCCAUACCAACCAACCUAACCUAAGACGCCCAUCCCAAACCUUAAUUCUCCCAUAAAACUAACUUUAACGCUAAUAACUCCCGUAACUUGCCCUCAAUCUUCUAAUAACCUGCUCUUGUUCUUAGCAUUGUAUAAAUGGUGUCACUAAUACUAAUGAUUUAAUGUCACUUUUUUUUUUUUUUAAAUUCUUUAUUUUCUGUGCAUUGAGAAAUG
This is a non-coding RNA of Pelobates cultripes (western spadefoot toad), 1973 nucleotides long. The record is from the annotation of a GenBank genome assembly. Lineage: Eukaryota; Metazoa; Chordata; Amphibia; Anura; Pelobatidae.